AUUGAACGCUGGCGGCAUGCCUUACACAUGCAAGUCGAACGGCAGCACGGGAGCAAUCCUGGUGGCGAGUGGCGAACGGGUGAGUAAAGUAUCGGAACGUGCCCAGUCGUGGGGGAUAACGUAGCGAAAGUUACGCUAAUACCGCAUACGAUCUAUGGCUGAAAGCGGGGGAUCGCAAGACCUCGCGCGAUUGGAGCGGCCGAUAUCAGAUUAGGUAGUUGGUGGGGUAAAGGCUCACCAAGCCGACGAUCUGUAGCUGGUCUGAGAGGACGACCAGCCACACUGGGACUGAGAAACGGCCCAGACUCCUACGGGAGGCAGCAGUGGGGAAUUUUGGACAAUGGGCUAAAGGCUGAUCCAGCCAUGCCGCGUGCAGGAUGAAGGCCUUCGGGUUGUAAACUGCUUUUGUACGGAACGAAAAGGUUUGGCCUAAUAAGCUGAGCUCAUGACGGUACCGUAAGAAUAAGCACCGGCUAACUACGUGCCAGCAGCCGCAGUAA
Molecule: ribosomal RNA, 500 nt
Filed under: uncultured bacterium
Lineage: Bacteria
Description: partial 16S ribosomal RNA
Rfam family: Bacterial small subunit ribosomal RNA
Source: RNAcentral